RNAcentral lists this long non-coding RNA (372 nucleotides) under Homo sapiens (human). RNAcentral describes it as "HSALNT0306474". Lineage: Eukaryota; Metazoa; Chordata; Mammalia; Primates; Hominidae. The record is from RNAcentral.
CCACCACGAACAACAGACUUCAUCCCUAGGAUGCAAGUUCUCAGGAUUCAAGAUGAAGAAGAUAAAGUUCCUGCCCCAAGAAGCUCUGUAUAAAGUCUAAAGGGCCUGGGAUUAAUUCUGUGUUGUUUAAUGAUGUAUUUCAAGUGCCUGAAGACAAAGAAAGGUGACAGAAUAGCUGUUAGAAUAGUGACUGUUGGUUUUAUUUAAACCUAGGAAGGAUUAGUUGGGAAUUUGUAGAAAAAAGGUAGGAUUUUCUAUUAACCCACAAACUUACAUUCAGCAUUCUGCCUUGAGUACUUUCUUUUGAUUUUCUACAUGCCAGGUUUUCCCAUAAACCAUAAUGUUUCAAAAUACAGCUCCUACUCAAAGCUA